Molecule: non-coding RNA, 73 nt
Organism: Trichonephila clavipes
Lineage: Eukaryota; Metazoa; Arthropoda; Arachnida; Araneae; Nephilidae
Source: the annotation of a GenBank genome assembly
GUUCCUGUAGCGCAAUGGGUAGCGCGUUGGACUUUUAAUUCAAAGUUCAUUGGUUUGAAUCCUAUCUGGGAUG